ACGGGUGAGUAACACGUGGGUAAUCUCCCUUGGUGAUCGGGAUAACAGCGGGAAACUGCUGCUAAUACCGGAUAAUCUUCAUGUUUAACUUCAUGGGGUAAAGGUGGCCCCUGCUUGCAAGCUACCACAUCAAGAUGAGCCCGCGUCUCAUUAGCUAGUUGGUAGGGUAAUGGCCUACCAAGGCUACGAUGAGUAGCUGGUCUGAGAGGAUGACCAGCCACACUGGGACUGGAACACGGCCCAGACUCCUACGGGAGGCAGCAGUGGGGAAUAUUGCGCAAUGGGCGGAAGCCUGACGCAGCGACGCCUCGUGAGGGAUGAAGGUCUUCGGAUCGUAAACCUCUGUCAAGAGGGAAGAAACCCUUGGAUUCGAAUAGGGUCCUUGGCUGACGGUACCUCAAAAGGAAGCACCGGCUAACUCCGUGCCAGCAGCCGCGGUAAUACUGAGGGUGCAAGCGUUAAUCGGAAUCACUGGGCGUAAAGCGCUCGUAGGCGGUUUGGUCAGUCAGAUGUGAAAGCCCUCGGCUUAACCGGGGAACUGCAUUUGAUACUGCCAGACUUGAGUGUCGGAGAGGGUGGCGGAAUUCCGGGUGUAGGAGUGAAAUCCGUAGAUGUCCGGAGGAACACCAGUGGCGAAGGCGGCCACCUGGACGACAACUGACGCUGAGGAGCGAAAGCGUGGGGAGCAAACAGGAUUAGAUACCCUGGUAGUCCACGCGGUAAACGAUGGAUGCUGGGUGUCGGGGGUUUACCUUCGGUGCCGCAGUAACGCGUAAGCAUC
RNAcentral lists this ribosomal RNA (781 nucleotides) under uncultured bacterium. RNAcentral's name for it is "bacterial SSU rRNA". It matches the Rfam family "Bacterial small subunit ribosomal RNA", at positions 102 to 868 of the family's 1533-position model. The record is from RNAcentral.